CCCACGCAACCUAUUGACCAAAUGCACUGCUUGUAAUAUCUUUCUCUCUCCUUUUUCUAUUCUUUAUUCUUCUCUCUUCCCCCCUCAUGCCCAAUAUGAUGUUUGUGUUUGUGUGUUGCCGUAGAUGUGGAUGGAUCUAGAAGCUGAAGAGAGGCCAACUAGGAGGGUGUUCCGUCAAUGAUGAAGUUCUAUGUUCCAGUUUCUGCUGCCUCUUCAACUGAGCUCUCGACGUUCGUCUUCUUUUUGUUCGUCUCUUUAUAAAUCCAACCCAAAGAAAACCUGUAUAUAAUUCCCAAACCAUUCAUCGCCAAUGUCCCUCUCUAUAUCCCCCCCCUAUCUUAUAUUUCUCUCUUAAAUGUUGAUGUACUCUACUUAUUUAUUUUUUAUUUUUUCCUUUUGAUUUACGUUCUGUGUGUAUCACCCCAUUAUUGGUUACAACCUCGUGAAAUGCGAACGUCGUAGGGGGGGGAACUUGACGUGUAUUUCAUUUCCAAUACGUUUCAAACCACAUUGUAACGAUGUGUAUUGGACCAGCUUCGGAACGCUUCUCGCCAAUGUUCUUCAUUCAUUUGCAUUUCUUUGUUGUUUGGAAUUCUAUAUCCGUCCUGUUUUCUUUCGCAGCCUUUCUUAUUUUCUUUUCACUGGUGUCUUCUCCCCUUUUCUUUUGAGGAAAUAACCAAAAAGAGAAGGAGGCCGGAUCUAGGUCGAUACAUGGUUAUAUACUAUACCCUACCCUCUAUACUAUAUUCCGCUGUGGCAUCCUAUACAACGCCGUCUAGCGUUUCCUGUCCGUCCACACAGUUACGACGCUCUUUUUUAAUUCUUCUUCUUCUUCUUCUUCGCCAUCGACGUAUAUCUAUAUGCACAUAUCGUACAAAUGCUUAACUGGUUGCCUUCUCUUCUGCUGUAUCCGUCGAUGGAUAGAAACGAGCGCACCGCUCCAAACACA
Long non-coding RNA from Daphnia magna, 949 nucleotides. RefSeq lists it as uncharacterized. Lineage: Eukaryota; Metazoa; Arthropoda; Branchiopoda; Diplostraca; Daphniidae. The record is from RefSeq and is a predicted model, not a curated record. The transcript is spliced from 2 exons.